Molecule: ribosomal RNA, 449 nt
Filed under: uncultured bacterium
Lineage: Bacteria
Description: partial 16S ribosomal RNA
Rfam family: Bacterial small subunit ribosomal RNA
Source: RNAcentral
AACGAACGCUGGCGGCAUGCCUAACACAUGCAAGUCGAACGAGAUCUUCGGGUCUAGUGGCGCACGGGUGCGUAACGCGUGGGAAUCUGCCCUUUGGUUCGGAAUAACAGUUGGAAACGACUGCUAAUACCGGACGAUGACGAAAGUCCAAAGAUUUAUCGCCAGAGGAUGAGCCCGCGUAGGAUCAGCUAGUUGGUGUGGUAAAGGCGCACCAAGGCGACGAUCCUUAGCUGGUCUGAGAGGAUGAUCAGCCACACUGGGACUGAGACACGGCCCAGACUCCUACGGGAGGCAGCAGUGGGGAAUAUUGGACAAUGGGCGAAAGCCUGAUCCAGCAAUGCUGCGUGAGUGAUGAAGGCCUUAGGGUUGUAAAGCUCUUUUACCCGGGAUGAUAAUGACAGUACCGGGAGAAUAAGCUCCGGCUAACUCCGUGCCAGCAGCCGCCGUAA